RNAcentral lists this ribosomal RNA (254 nucleotides) under Priestia megaterium. Its description in RNAcentral is "Bacillus megaterium 23S rRNA. Bacterial LSU". It matches the Rfam family "Bacterial large subunit ribosomal RNA", at positions 2671 to 2925 of the family's 2925-position model. Lineage: Bacteria; Bacillati; Bacillota; Bacilli; Caryophanales; Bacillaceae. The record is from RNAcentral.
GCUGUCCUUAGUACGAGAGGACCGGGAUGGACACACCGCUGGUGUACCAGUUGUCUUGCCAAAGGCAUCGCUGGGUAGCUAUGUGUGGACGGGAUAAGUGCUGAAAGCAUCUAAGCAUGAAGCCCCCCUCAAGAUGAGAUUUCCCAUAGCGUAAGCUAGUAAGAUCCCUGAAAGAUGAUCAGGUUGAUAGGUCAGAGGUGGAAGCGUGGCGACAUGUGUAGCUGACUGAUACUAAUCGAUCGAGGACUUAACCA